Molecule: ribosomal RNA, 549 nt
Filed under: uncultured bacterium
Lineage: Bacteria
Description: partial 16S ribosomal RNA
Rfam family: Bacterial small subunit ribosomal RNA
Source: RNAcentral
UGGGGAAUUUUGGACAAUGGGCGCAAGCCUGAUCCGGCCAUGCCGCGUGCGGGAAGAAGGCCUUCGGGUUGUAAACCGCUUUUGUCAGGGAAGAAAUCUUCUGAGUUAAUACCUCGGGAGGAUGACGGUACCUGAAGAAUAAGCACCGGCUAACUACGUGCCAGCAGCCGCGGUAAUACGUAGGGUGCAAGCGUUAAUCGGAAUUACUGGGCGUAAAGCGUGCGCAGGCGGUUUUGUAAGACAGAGGUGAAAUCCCCGGGCUCAACCUGGGAACUGCCUUUGUGACUGCAAGGCUUGAGUGCGGCAGAGGGGGGAUGGAAUUCCGCGUGUAGCAGUGAAAUGCGUAGAUAUGCGGAGGAACACCGAUGGCGAAGGCAAUCCCCUGGGCCUGCACUGACGCUCAUGCACGAAGCGUGGGGAGCAAACAGGAUUAGAUACCCUGGUAGUCCACGCCCUAAAACGAUGUCAACUGGUUGUUGGGAAGGUUCCUUCUCAGUAACGUAGCUAACGCGUGAAGUUGACCGCCUGGGGAGUACGGCCGCAAGGUUG